Microplitis mediator is the source of this 613-nucleotide long non-coding RNA. RefSeq lists it as uncharacterized. The transcript has 3 exons. The record is from RefSeq and is a predicted model, not a curated record. NCBI's taxonomy places the organism in Eukaryota, Metazoa, Arthropoda, Insecta, Hymenoptera, Braconidae.
UUUAAAAUAUUUUGAUAACAAUAACGAUAAAUACGUAGCCUAUAGAUAGGAAAGACAGCAAUUAUUAGUCGAGUUUAAAAACGGGCCAUUAUUUACUAGCUAUUAUAACUUUUGCGUCGACCGACUUGCAAGCUCCUUACUGCUCUAAGUAAAUCAAAAUUCACUAAAAAAAUGUCCAAGUUCAUUUUCAUUUUUAUAUGUAUAGCUGCGAUGUUUGCUAUUGGAGAUUGUGCUGAUCUUCAAGGGUGUCCAGGUUGUGUAGGUCAUGGUGAAAGUUGUGUAGACGAGGCAUGCUGCCUCGGUUUUUAUUGCAAGACAGAUGAGUUUGGCGACGAUAGAUGUUCAAGUAACACAGCUAAAGAUAGACUGGGUGCAGGCGGUGGACGUAAAUGGAAAGACACCUCUAUAGGUCUAACAGAAUAAAAAAAAUUCUUGACUUUUUUGUCGUUUUAAAUGAAAAUUUCUACUUCAUUGAGACAAACUUCAAACCAUUUAAAAAUACAGAAAUUUUUUCUAAUAAAUGAAAACUAUAAUCCCCUAUCCUAUAUAUAAAUAAAUUAUAAGUAAAAUCAUUGUAAUUUUUUGAGUACAUAAUAAAAAGCAUUUGAUGAAC